This 433-nucleotide ribosomal RNA is filed under the name uncultured bacterium. Its description in RNAcentral is "partial 16S ribosomal RNA". It matches the Rfam family "Bacterial small subunit ribosomal RNA", at positions 29 to 507 of the family's 1533-position model. The record is from RNAcentral.
AACGAACGCUGGCGGCAUGCCUAACACAUGCAAGUCGAACGAGACCUUCGGGUCUAGUGGCGCACGGGUGCGUAACGCGUGGGAACCUGCCCUUAGGUUCGGAAUAACUCCCCGAAAGGGGUGCUAAUACCGGAUAAUGUCUUCGGACCAAAGAUUUAUCGCCUUUGGAUGGGCCCGCGUUGGAUUAGCUAGUUGGUAGGGUAAAAGCCUACCAAGGCGACGAUCCAUAGCUGGUCUGAGAGGAUGAUCAGCCACACUGGGCCUGAGACACGGCCCAGACUCCUACGGGAGGCAGCAGUGGGGAAUAUUGGACAAUGGGCGAAAGCCUGAUCCAGCAAUGCCGCGUGAGUGAUGAAGGCCUUAGGGUUGUAAAGCUCUUUUACCCGGGAUGAUAAUGACAGUACCGGGAGAAUAAGCACCGGCUAACUCCGUG